This 28-nucleotide non-coding RNA is filed under the name Homo sapiens (human). The record is from RNAcentral. Lineage: Eukaryota; Metazoa; Chordata; Mammalia; Primates; Hominidae.
UGGAGAAAGGAAUCUAGGGUGACCAACA